GGGGGCGGAGGAGAAUAAGAGAAGAUGAUGAUCAAUUUUUUAUUUCUUUUUGUUUUUUUUUUCCUUUUCUAUUUGUAAUCAGACCGAGUGGGUUGGUUGGGGUUGAUUGAGUGGCGAAAUUUUUUGUUUUUGAUUGGAUUGUGCUUUAUAUUUAUAUUUUAAUAGAUUUUUUUAAAAGUUUUGGUAUAAAUGAGAGACACUUAUACAAAAUUGUUCCAAAAAUGUGUCAUUAUAAUCUAAUUCUAUUAUAGUGAAUCUGUAAUAUAAAUCAGGUACAAAUCACAUAUGGAUCUCAUAAUUUAAUAAAUUUUAAUAACAUUUUAUUAUUUCAAACAUUUUGUUCU
RNAcentral lists this long non-coding RNA (344 nucleotides) under Ananas comosus (pineapple). RNAcentral describes it as "long non-coding RNA (ACOM_LNC043268)". The record is from RNAcentral. Lineage: Eukaryota; Viridiplantae; Streptophyta; Magnoliopsida; Poales; Bromeliaceae.